GCCGGGCAUGGUGGUGCACGCCUGUAAUCCCACCUACUCAGGAGGCUGAGGCAGGAGAAUCACUUGAACCCAGGAGGUGGAGGUUGUAGUGAGACGAGAUCGCACCACUGCACUCCAGCCUGGGUGACAGAGUGAGACUCUGUCUCAA
This 148-nucleotide non-coding RNA is filed under the name Homo sapiens (human). The record is from Rfam by way of RNAcentral. Lineage: Eukaryota; Metazoa; Chordata; Mammalia; Primates; Hominidae.